GUUGGCGGCCAUAGCUAGGAGCUAGGACCCGUACCCAUUCCGAACACGGAAGUGAAUCUCCUAGGCGAUCUAGGUUGUAGUGUUGUGCGAGAGCCUACGCGAACCCUAGACCGCUGCCAACU
RNAcentral lists this ribosomal RNA (122 nucleotides) under Candidatus Bathyarchaeota archaeon. Lineage: Archaea; Thermoproteati; Candidatus Bathyarchaeota. The record is from RNAcentral. RNAcentral also lists the same sequence under 1 other name.